Esox lucius (northern pike) is the source of this 1398-nucleotide long non-coding RNA. NCBI's taxonomy places the organism in Eukaryota, Metazoa, Chordata, Actinopteri, Esociformes, Esocidae. The record is from Ensembl.
GUUUACGAUAACGUUAAUACUGCCCAUAAUGGAGACAAGAGAAGAAGGACGAGACCAACUCCACCUCCAUUAGCCUCCUCAAACAUCAACACUCCCCCUAGUGGAGAGGAGAGAGGAAGGAGCAGACAAACCCCACCUCCACAACCAGUCUAUAAUAACAUCAACACUCCCCCUAGUGGAGAGGAGAGAGGAAGGAGCAGACAAACCCCACCUCCACAACCAGUCUUUAAUAACAUCAACUCUGCCCCUAGUGGAGAGGUUAACCAGUUGUAUGAGAAUACCAGAAAGCUGAAAUAAAAGACACACGUAGUCUUGCCUCUAAAAUCUACACUGUUGGUCCUGUCUUUACAACCUACAUUGUUGGUCCUGCCUCUAUAACCAACUCUGUGGGUCUUGCCUCUACAACCUACCCUGUCGGUCCUGCAUCUACAUCCUACCCUGUUGGUCCUGCCUCUACAACCAACUCCAUUGGUCCUGCCUCUACAACCUACUCCAUUGGUCCUGCCUCUACAACCUACCCUGUUGGUCCUGCCUCUACAACCUACCCUGUUGGUCUUGCCUCUACAACCUACCCUGUUGGUCUUGCCUCUACAACCUACCCUGUUGGUCCUGCCUCUACAACCUCUGAGUUGUAGAGGCAGUUGAUCAGUUGUUCAUUGUCUGAAAAUGGAUUAUAGACAGACUGAAUCUCAAAUUGCACACUUUAUGCUACGCACUACAAGUAGCCUAUGUACUUAGCAGAUAAUGGUGAAGAACAUACUGUUUAGUAUAUUGUAUGCUGGUGUGCCGUAUUGGGGCCGAUUGGGACCUUCUACUUCUUAAAAUUGUGUCUCAAAAUUUGGUCAUGCAUUAACAUCACGCCUGGUUUGAAUAUUUAGCUAGACACCAUUUAGCAUUGUGUUAAACUGAAUAACAUUUCUUAUAAAGUUUACUUCCACCACAUAUAUUAUCUAUUAUGUGUAUGGCUUUUGCCACUUGCCAUUUUAACAGCUUAAUAGCCAGUAAUACUAGUAUCUUACUACUUGGAAUAUUCAUCAGAAUUGAGCAAUUGCUAAUGAGAAUGAAAACAAACUUUACACAGCCAAAGCUAUUUUAUUUAAUGUUACAACAAUGUUAGUUAUUCUUUCAUACGUGAAUGACAUUGAUGCAAUAACUAUCAACUUUUUAGUCAAGUGAAAAGACAAGCAAUUAAUGGAAAACCCUCCUAUUUUAGCUCUGAUAAUUUUUCUGUCAUCAACUGCUGUUGUUUUCCUUGGCCAACCUAGUCAUUACUGAUUGGUAAAGACACCAGGGAUUUAUCUCUAUUGACAGGACAUUCCAAACUAUCUGGGUAGGGCUGACAUGCUAUAGUUCUAAUUGAGUUUCUAUUUUCUGGAUAUUCCAAACUAUCUGGCUAGG